This 446-nucleotide ribosomal RNA is filed under the name uncultured bacterium. Its description in RNAcentral is "bacterial SSU rRNA". It matches the Rfam family "Bacterial small subunit ribosomal RNA", at positions 28 to 504 of the family's 1533-position model. The record is from RNAcentral.
GAUGAACGCUGGCGGCGUGCCUAACACAUGCAAGGCCAGCGGACCCUUAGGGGUGAGCGGUGGACGGGUGAGUAACGCGUGUGUAACCUGCCCUGGGGCACGGAUAACAUACCGAAAGGUAUGCUAAUACGAGAUAAUAUGGAAUGAUCGCAUGGUCGAUACAUCAAAGCUUUUGCGGUACAGGAUGGACCCGCGUCUGAUUUUUUCUCUGGUGAGGUAAGGGCUCACCAAGGCGACCAUGAGUAUCCGACCUGAUAGGGUGAUCGGCCACAUUGGAACUGACACACCGUCCAAACUCCUACUGCAGGCACCAGUGGGGAAUAUUGCCCAAUGGUCCAAUGCCUGAUGCCCCAUCGCCGCGUGAUCUAUGAAGGCCUUCUGGUCGUAAAGCUCUGUCCUCAAUGAAUAUAAUGACGGUACUUGAUGAGGAAGCCCCGGCUAACUAC